GCAAAAAUAAAAGUGUGGGACCUGCAGGCGGCGCUUGACCCUCGGGCCCCCGCUAGCACAUUAUGUCUGCGCACUCUAGUGGAGCACUCUGGCCGGGUUUUCCGCCUGCAGUUUGACGAGUUCCAGAUCAUCAGCAGUUCUCACGACGACACCAUUCUGAUCUGGGAUUUCCUGAACGUCUCGCCCAACGGCCAGUCAGAGGGGCCGGUCUCCUUCCCGUACCUACAACGUACAUUUCUAGAUAGCAGGUGGCGCCAUACAACUCGCCUUUUUAUAGGAGGAAAUCCAGGGCUGAUUGGCUGAUGGGUGCAUCUGUCGCAAAAAGGAGCGCGUCUUUUUUUUCCCCCUCCUCUUCCUCCUGGUCAUCUCUCUGUCCAUCUCCCACUCAGCCCCCCCCUCCUGCCCGUUCUGACGGACCCUUAAAGCUUGUGCCCAUCGCCUGCCAGUUCAGCGACACGCAUACAGGCCAACACUGAGGACUCCCCACUGCAGAACCGACGCAACUCUCCCAAGACGUUCUGCUACUAAUUUAUGUUUUGUAAAGUACACUAAUGACAGUAUUAACAUAGACCUGGCAAAAACCCACAACUUUUUUUUUUCUUUUUUUUUUUUUUUUUUUUUUUUUUUGGUCCCCUU
Long non-coding RNA from Fundulus heteroclitus (mummichog), 636 nucleotides. RefSeq lists it as uncharacterized. The record is from RefSeq and is a predicted model, not a curated record. NCBI's taxonomy places the organism in Eukaryota, Metazoa, Chordata, Actinopteri, Cyprinodontiformes, Fundulidae. The transcript is spliced from 3 exons.